Lytechinus variegatus (green sea urchin) is the source of this 207-nucleotide long non-coding RNA. RefSeq lists it as uncharacterized. The transcript is spliced from 4 exons. Lineage: Eukaryota; Metazoa; Echinodermata; Echinoidea; Temnopleuroida; Toxopneustidae. The record is from RefSeq and is a predicted model, not a curated record.
CAACCCCUGGUCCUUCAACAACGCCUAAACCCACUCAUCCACCAGCUUUGUCACAGAUAAGUAUGUCCACAUCAAAGUCAGGAGACAAGGAUGGAUGUGAAUGCAUUGUUUUGUAUGUCGUGUUAGGAGUUAGCUUAGUAUUCAAUGUGGUACUGAUCGUCCUGUACGUAAGGCUCAAGUGUGGACAAUGGCCCAAUAAGAUGGGUA